Molecule: ribosomal RNA, 2747 nt
Filed under: Rhodospirillales bacterium
Lineage: Bacteria; Pseudomonadati; Pseudomonadota; Alphaproteobacteria; Rhodospirillales
Description: 23S ribosomal RNA
Rfam family: Bacterial large subunit ribosomal RNA
Source: RNAcentral
UCUCAAGCAUGAGAAGGGCAUUUGGUGGAUGCCUUGGCAUCGAGAGGCGAUGAAGGACGUGGCACUCUGCGAAAAGCUCCGGGGAGGUGAGAGCAACCUUUGAUCCGGAGAUAUCCGAAUGGGGCAACCCGGCGCUUAUUGCGUCAUCCCGCACCGAAUCCAUAGGUGCGGGGAGCAAACCCAGGGAACUGAAACAUCAAAGUACCUGGUGGAAAGGACAUCAAACCGAGACUCCGUCAGUAGUGGCGAGCGAAGGCGGACCAGGCCAGUGGCGUAUGUUUAAGAACCGGAACCGUUUGGAAAGACGGGCCUGAGUGGGUGAUAGCCCCGUACGGGUAGAAAGAACAUGCGUCCUUGAGUAAGGCGGGACACGUGCAAUCCUGUCUGAAGAUGGGGGGACCCCCCUCCAAGCCUAAGUACUCCUCGAUGACCGAUAGUGAACAAGUACCGUGAGGGAAAGGUGAAAAGCACCCCGAGAGGGGAAUGAAAUAGACCUGAAACCGAAUGCCUACAAGCAGUCGGAGGGAGCUUCGGCUCCUGACGGCGUACCUUUUGUAUAAUGGGUCAGCGACUUAAUCUUACGAGCAAGCUUAAACCGGUAGGUGUAGGCGCAGCGAAAGCGAGUCUGAAUAGGGCGUUCAGUUCGUAGGAUUAGACCCGAACCCGAGUGAUCUAGCCAUGAGCAGGUUGAAGGUGGGGUAACACCCACUGGAGGACCGAACCCACGUCUGUUGAAAAAGACGGGGAUGACUUGUGGCUAGGGGUGAAAGGCCAAUCAAACUCGGAAAUAGCUGGUUCUCCGCGAAAUCUAUUUAGGUAGAGCGUCGUGCGAACGCCAUCGGGGGUAGAGCACCGGAUGGGCUAGGGGAUCCUACAGAUCUACCAAACCUAACCGAACUCCGAAUACCGAUGAGCGCUACACGGCAGGCAGCCCCGGGGUGCUAAGGUCCCGGGACGAGAGGGAAAGAUCCCAGACCGCCAGCUAAGGUCCCCAAGUCAUGGCUAAGUGGUAAAGGAUGUGGGAAGGCCAAGACAGCCAGGAGGUUGGCUUAGAAGCAGCCAUCCUUUAAAGAAAGCGUAACAGCUCACUGGUCUAGUUAAGCCGUCCCGCGCCGAAAAUGUAACGGGGCUCAAGCCAUGCACCGAAGCUGCGGAUGUCAUCGCAAGAUGACGUGGUAGCGGAGCGUUCCGUAAGUCUGUGAAGGCGCGUCGCGAGGCGCGCUGGAGAUAUCGGAAGUGCGAAUGCUGACAUGAGUAGCGACAAGGAGAGCGAGAAACUCUCCCGCCGAAAGUCCAAGGGUUCCUCAGCACGGUUAAUCCGCUGAGGGUGAGCCGGUCCCUAAGGCGAGGCCGAGAGGCGUAGUCGAUGGGAACCUGGUUAAUAUUCCAGGGCCAGCCGGGUGUGACGGACCUCGAACGUCGUCAGGGCUUAUCGGAUUGCCCUGGCGGCCUGGAGGUCCCAGGAAAUAACCCCGGCAUAGACCGUACCCCAAACCGACACAGGUGGACUGGUUGAGAAUACCGAGGCGCUUGAGAGAACGAUGUUGAAGGAACUCGGCAAAUUGCCCUCGUAACUUCGGAAGAAGAGGGCCCCCAAGGCGGGCAACCGUUUUGGGGGGGCACAAGCCAGGGGGUGGCGACUGUUUACUAAAAACACAGGGCUCUGCGAAGUCUCGAUGACGACGUAUAGGGUCUGACGCCUGCCCGGUGCCGGAAGGUUAAGAGGAGAGGUGCAAGCCUUGAAUCGAAGCCCCGGUAAACGGCGGCCGUAACUAUAACGGUCCUAAGGUAGCGAAAUUCCUUGUCGGGUAAGUUCCGACCUGCACGAAUGGCGUAACGACUUCCCCACUGUCUCCAACAUCGGCUCAGCGAAAUUGAAUUCUCCGUGAAGAUGCGGAGUUCCCGCGGUUAGACGGAAAGACCCCGUGCACCUUUACUACAGCUUUGCAGUGGUAUUAGGGGACUGAUGUGUAGAAUAGGUGGGAGGCGAUGAAGUUCGGGCGCUAGCUCGGACGGAGCCGCAAUGUGAAAUACCACCCUUUGGUUCUCUGAUAUCUAACCGAGAUCGGUUUAUCCCGGUCCGGGACCCUGCAUGGCGGGUAGUUUGACUGGGGCGGUCGCCUCCCAAAGAGUAACGGAGGCGCGCGAUGGUGGGCUCAAGCUGGUCGGAAAUCAGCUGUUGAGUGCAAUGGCAUAAGCCCGCCUGACUGCGAGACUGACACGUCGAGCAGAGACGAAAGUCGGCCAUAGUGAUCCGGUGGUUCUGCGUGGAAGGGCCAUCGCUCAACGGAUAAAAGGUACGCCGGGGAUAACAGGCUGAUGAUUCCCAAGAGUCCAUAUCGACGGAAUCGUUUGGCACCUCGAUGUCGGCUCAUCACAUCCUGGGGCUGGAGCAGGUCCCAAGGGUUUGGCUGUUCGCCAAUUAAAGUGGUACGUGAGCUGGGUUUAGAACGUCGCGAGACAGUUCGGUCCCUAUCUGCCGUGGGUGUCGGAAACUUGAGAGGAGCUGUCCCUAGUACGAGAGGACCGGGAUGGACGUACCUCUGGUGGACCUGUUGUCGCGCCAGCGGCAGUGCAGGGUAGCUAUGUACGGACGGGAUAACCGCUGAACGCAUCUAAGCGGGAAGCCCCCCUCGAAACCAGGUUUCCCCGAAGAGCCGUGGUAGACCACCACGUUGAUAGGCCGGAUGUGUAAGCGCGGCAACGCGUUGAGCUAACCGGUCCUAAUCGCUCGUUUGGCUUGAGAG